GAUGAAGAACGCAGCGAAAUGCGAUAAGUAGUGUGAAUUGCAGAAUUCAGUGAAUCAUCGAAUCUUUGAACGCACAUUGCGCCCCUUGGUAUUCCAUGGGGCAUGCCUGUUCGAGCGUCAUUUCAACCAUCAAGCCCUGCUUGUGUUGGGGUCCUGCGGCUGCCCGCAGGCCCUGAAAACCAGUGGCGGGCUCGCUAGUCACACCGAGCGCAGUAGCACAUCUCGCUCAGGGCGUGCGGCGGGUUCUUGCCGUAAAACACCCCCUUUUUACCAAGGUUGACCUCGGAUCAGGUAGGAAUACCCGCUGAACUUAAGCAUAUCAAUAAGCGGAGGA
This 334-nucleotide unclassified non-coding RNA is filed under the name soil metagenome. RNAcentral describes it as "partial contains 5.8S ribosomal RNA, internal transcribed spacer 2, and large subunit ribosomal RNA". The stretch from base 1 to 120 matches the Rfam family "5.8S ribosomal RNA", at positions 35 to 154 of the family's 154-position model. The record is from RNAcentral.